Molecule: long non-coding RNA, 249 nt
Filed under: Solanum lycopersicum (tomato)
Lineage: Eukaryota; Viridiplantae; Streptophyta; Magnoliopsida; Solanales; Solanaceae
Description: partial TCONS_00157715
Source: RNAcentral
CACUUUUUUUUUAUAAAAACUAUACAAACAUUUCAUAAAUGACCUAUUAGAACAAUACAUAUAGCCAAUAAUGAUACAUGCAACUUUUUUAAAUAUCAGGGGGUAGCUGAUGUCUUUUUCAACGCGGGGUGUAUUCAUGGGAAGUCUCAGUCAGAAGCAAGAAUGACAAUGUCUUCAAAUGCAAAUCACAGAGAGAAGAUAUCAGAACACUUCUACAUGCUGAAUUGAGCCUAAACUAGCACCAGAUGU